GAGUUUGAUCCUGGCUCAGAACGAACGCUGGCGGCGUGCCUAACACAUGCAAGUCGAACGUGAUCCAGAGCUUGCUCUGGUGAAAGUGGCGCACGGGUGAGUAACGCGUGGAUAACCUACCCUGGUAUCCGGGAUAACAUUCCGAAAGGGGUGCUAAUGCCGGAUAAGCCCACGGGCUCUUUGGAGCUUGCGGGAAAAGGUGGCCUCUAUUUAUAAGCUACUGUAUCAGGAUGGGUCCGCGUACCAUUAGCUAGUUGGCGGUGUAACGGACCACCAAGGCGACGAUGGUUAGCUGGUCUGAGAGGAUGAUCAGCCACACUGGAACUGAGACACGGUCCAGACUCCUACGGGAGGCAGCAGUGGGGAAUUUUGCGCAAUGGGGGAAACCCUGACGCAGCAACGCCGCGUGAGUGAUGAAGGCCUUUGGGUCGUAAAGCUCUGUCAGAGGGGAAGAAAUGAUAUAGUGCUAAUACCACUUCAUCUUGACGGUACCCUCAAAGGAAGCACCGGCUAACUCCGUGCCAGCAGCCGCGGUAAUAC
RNAcentral lists this ribosomal RNA (540 nucleotides) under uncultured Geobacteraceae bacterium. RNAcentral's name for it is "bacterial SSU rRNA". It matches the Rfam family "Bacterial small subunit ribosomal RNA", at positions 9 to 526 of the family's 1533-position model. Lineage: Bacteria; Pseudomonadati; Thermodesulfobacteriota; Desulfuromonadia; Geobacterales; Geobacteraceae. The record is from RNAcentral.